CGUCCCGUUCGUGAUGCGCUGCGGGAAGGCGCUGAACGAGCGCAAGGCCGAGGUGCGGCUGCAGUUCCGCGAGGUGCCCGGGGACAUUUUCGGGCGGCGCUGCAAACGCAACGAGCUGGUGGUGCGCGUGCAGCCCGACGAGGCCGUCUACACCAAGCUGAUGACCAAAAAACCCGGAAUGUUCCUCAGCCCCGAGGAGUCCGAGCUCGACCUCACCUACGGCAGCCGAUACAAGGUCUGGGGGCCCGAAAUUUAAUGGGGGAGAUUUGGGGAUUUGGGGAGGUGGGAGAAGCUAAAAGCGUUGGGAGGUUGGGGUUGAGUGGGUGUGGAGAACCCAAAACUGUUGGGGAGAUGGGGGCCAAAUGGGUAUGGAGACCCCAAAAAUGUUGGGAGGUGGAGAGGAAUGGGUAUGGAGACCCCAAAAAUGUUGGGGAGAUUGGGGCUGAAUGGGUGUGAAGAACCUAAAAUAGUUGGGGAAGGUUGGGGUGGAAUGGGCGUGGAGACCCCAAAAAUGUUGGGAGGUGGAGAGGAAUGGGUGUGGAGACCCCAAAAUCCUUGGGGAAGGUUACAGGAGAUGGGGUUCAAAUGGGUAUGGAGAACCCAAAAAUGUUGGGGAGAUUGGGGCUGAAUGGGUGUGGAGAACCCAAAAAUGUUGGGGAGAUGGGGGCUGAAUGGGCGUGGAGAACCCAAAAUUGUUGGGAGAUGGAGAGGAAUGGGUGUGGAGAACCCAAAAUCCUUGGGGAAGGUUACAGGAGAUGGGGGUUCAAAUGGGUAUGGAGAACCCAAAAAUGUUGGGAGAUGGGGGCCAAAUGGGUGUGAAGAACCUAAAAGUGUUGGGAGGUUGGGGUUGAAUGGGUGUGAAGAACCUAAAAGUGUUGGGAGGUUGGGGUUGAAUGGGCGUGGAGACCCCAAAAAUGUUGGGAGAUGGAGAGGGAUGGGUAUGGAGACCCCAAAAAUGUCGGGGAGAUUGGGGCUGAAUGGGUGUGGAGAACCCAAAAUCGUUGGGGAAGGUUGGGGUGGAAUGGGUGUGGAGACCCCAAAAAUGUUGGGGAAGGUUGCAGGAGAAGGGGUUCAAAUGGGUGUGGAGAACCCAAAAAUGUUGGGAGAUGGAGAGGAAUGGGUAUGGACACCCCAAAAAUGUUGGGGAGGUUGGGGCCGAAUGGGUGUGGAGACCCCAAAAUCCUUGGGGAAGGUUGGGGAGAUGGGGUCCAAGGGGUAUUGAGACCCAAAAAUCCUCCUCUUAUGGGAGACGAGGCCCCAGUAGGAUAUGGAGACCCCAAAACCCCAUUAAAUUUUAUGGGAUUUGGGGCACCAAAUGGGUAUGGAGACCCCAAAACCCUCCAGUAAAGCGUUAGGGGAGAGGAGGCUCCCAAUGGGAGACCCCAAA
Molecule: long non-coding RNA, 1387 nt
Filed under: Anas platyrhynchos platyrhynchos (common mallard)
Lineage: Eukaryota; Metazoa; Chordata; Aves; Anseriformes; Anatidae
Description: lncRNA (ENSAPLG00000024697.1)
Source: RNAcentral